AAUAAUUGAUUUUCAGCUCAAUUUCGGGUUCAAGCUUCGUUUGGAGAAUUGGUCGUGGACUUUGAACGUUCGUGACAUAGUAACUCGACGAGUACUUACACUUAAUUAUAACUUGACGAUAUAAAGCAAAGGUGAACAGGUGAAUCAAAGACGUGAUGGAUGAUGAUUGAUUGUU
Erigeron canadensis is the source of this 175-nucleotide long non-coding RNA. RefSeq lists it as uncharacterized. The record is from RefSeq and is a predicted model, not a curated record. The transcript is spliced from 3 exons. NCBI's taxonomy places the organism in Eukaryota, Viridiplantae, Streptophyta, Magnoliopsida, Asterales, Asteraceae.